CAAUUGCGAAGGCAGCUUUCUGGAUCAUUACUGACACUGAGGAACGAAAGCAUGGGUAGCGAAGAGGAUUAGAUACCCUCGUAGUCCAUGCCGUAAACGAUGUGUGUUAGACGUUGGAAAUUUAUUUUCAGUGUCGCAGGGAAACCGAUAAACACACCGCCUGGGGAGUACGACCGCAAGGUUAAAACUCAAAUGAAUUGACGGGGACCCGCACAAGUAGUGGAGCAUGUGGUUUAAUUCGAAGAUACGCGCAGAACCUUACCAACACUUGACAUGUUCGUCGCGACUCUAAGAGAUUAGAGUUUUCGGUUCGGCCGGACGAAACACAGGUGCUGCAUGGCUGUCGUCAGCUCGUGUCGUGAGAUGUUGGGUUAAGUCCCGCAACGAGCGCAACCCUCACUUUUAGUUGCCAUCAUUAAGUUGGGCACUCUGAAAGAACUGCCAGUGAUAAGCUGGAGGAAGGUGGGGAUGGCGUCAAGUCCUCAUGGCCCUUACGUGUUGGGCUACACACGUGCUACAAUGGCAUCUACAACAGGAAGCAAAACGGCAACGUUAAGCAAAUCCCGAAAAGAUGCCUCAGUUCGGAUUGCACUCUGCAACUCGAGUGCAUGAAGCUGGAAUUACUAGUAAUCGUGGAUCAGCGUGCCACGGUGAAUGCGUUCCCGGGUCUUGUACACACCGCCCGUCACACCAUGGGAGUUGGUUCUACCUUAAGGCAAGGUUUCAAACCCUUGACCACGGUAUAGUCAGCGACUGGGGUGAAGUCGUAACAAGGUAACCGUA
This 783-nucleotide ribosomal RNA is filed under the name uncultured bacterium. Its description in RNAcentral is "bacterial SSU rRNA". It matches the Rfam family "Bacterial small subunit ribosomal RNA", at positions 708 to 1504 of the family's 1533-position model. The record is from RNAcentral.